AUGGGAGCGCCUGGUGCUCCGGUUUGUCCUCCAGGGAAACCUGUCCUUUCCCAGGCGGUGUGUGGGCUCCACCGAAGCUGCCCCGCAGCAGCCGCCGGGCGCUCCCGGGUGCACGGAGCUCCCUCACCGGACCCACCACCCCGGCUUCCCGCUAGGUGUCCUGUCCAGCGCACGAGGAGCGGCCCUUCGGGCAUCUCUCCACCCCCCCCCCGCCCCCGGGAGUGCAUCGGCACCCCGACUUGCCCCGUCCCACCCGGGCACGGCCAGGUGGCUUCCCCCGCCCUCGGGGUUCCUCCCGCCGCGGGCCGCGGCCUUCACGCGGGUGCAGCCCGCUCUUCCCUCCGUGUCAGACCCUGGCGGGAGGGGUCUCCGGCUGGGGGCGUCCAAGGAGCUGGAGCUUGGCCGCCGCCGCGGGAUGCCCGCCUGGUGGUGCCCUGGGGGUCCGUGGCCCCGCGGCCUGCCGCCGCCCACCAGCCUGUCCCGCACCCUCUCCCGGGGGUCCCGGGCACGCUUCAGCCGCGCCCGGCCCCGCGCAGGUUUCCUAGCAGCGCCGUGAAGCAGCCAGGCCUAGGCCGGCCCUUGCCCCCGCAGCUAGCGCCGCGUCCGCGCGGUUCUGUGGCUCCACAGGACCCAGAGCGGCCCGGGGGGGCCCGUGGCCUCCUGGGCGCCCUAUCUUUCUCACUCCCCCCUCGGCCUGCCCCGCGCAGCCCCCUCUCCAGGGCGGACCUUCGCCAACUCCCGAACACAGACCCUGGCCCUUCCCGCCUGGAAGCCCUUGUGGCUGCACCCGCCUUAAGGCCAAGAAAACCUCUCCUCGCGGCACGUGGGCCUCCCGCGGGUCCUUGCCUCCGUCCAGCGGCUACCACGAGGCCCGUCCCUGUCCUUUCCCGACUUUUCUCUGGUGCCUCUCCCUCCCCUCGGCCGCCCCUCCACCCUGGCCCCCUCGGUGCCCUCGUGGACCCAAGGUCCACCCAUAAGAGUUCAGCCCACGUGUUGCUUCCUCGAGGCUCCCCUCUUCCCGGGAUCUGCGGGCUCCUCGGCAGCCCUGCUUGCAGCCACACUCAGCAGCUCGCAGGGUCCCUUACCAGAGUGAACUGA
Molecule: long non-coding RNA, 1098 nt
Filed under: Canis lupus dingo (dingo)
Lineage: Eukaryota; Metazoa; Chordata; Mammalia; Carnivora; Canidae
Description: lncRNA (ENSCAFG00020014466.1)
Source: RNAcentral